GCUGCCGUAGCUCAGUGGUAGAGCACUCCCUUGGUAAGGGAGAGGUCGAGAGUUCAAUCCUCUCUGGCAGCACCA
Molecule: transfer RNA, 75 nt
Filed under: Azospirillum brasilense
Lineage: Bacteria; Pseudomonadati; Pseudomonadota; Alphaproteobacteria; Rhodospirillales; Azospirillaceae
Also listed under: 256 other names
Description: tRNA-Thr
Rfam family: tRNA
About the family: Transfer RNA (tRNA) molecules are approximately 80 nucleotides in length.
Source: RNAcentral